This 28-nucleotide small RNA is filed under the name Bombyx mori (domestic silkworm). RNAcentral describes it as "ovarian small RNA-19461". Lineage: Eukaryota; Metazoa; Arthropoda; Insecta; Lepidoptera; Bombycidae. The record is from RNAcentral.
UAAGUUCAGAUUCCGUGAUUGGUUGCAC